RNAcentral lists this ribosomal RNA (1781 nucleotides) under human gut metagenome. Its description in RNAcentral is "bacterial LSU rRNA". It matches the Rfam family "Bacterial large subunit ribosomal RNA", at positions 596 to 2461 of the family's 2925-position model. The record is from RNAcentral.
AUGAGGUACCUUUUGUAGAAUGGUCCGGCGAGUUAUUGUUACUGGCAAGCUUAAGGCAUUCAGUGCCGGAGGCGCAGGGAGACCGAGUCUGAAUAGGGCGUAUGAAGUCAGUGGCAAUAGACCCGAAACCGGGUGACCUAUCCAUGGGCAGGUUGAAGUGGGGGUAAAACCCCAUGGAGGACCGAACCGACCCCCGUUGCAAUGGUGGCGGAUGACCUGUGGAUAGCGGAGAAAUUCUAAUCGAACUUGGAGAUAGCUGGUUCUCCCCGAAAUAGCUUUAGGGCUAGCGUUGAUUUAGAUUACCGGAGGUAAAGCACUGAAUGGGCUAGGGGCUGAUAAAGUUACUGAACCCUAUCAAACUAAGAAUGCCGGCAAAUUGAUGAUCAGCAGUCAGACUACGUGAGAUAAGUCUCGUGGUCAAAAGGGAAACAGCCCAGACCCACAGCUAAGGUCCCAAAUAUACGCUAAGUGGAAAACGAUGUGAGAUUGCAUAAACAACCAGGAUGUUGGCUUAGAGGCAGCCACUCGUUCAAAGAGUGCGUAAUAGCUCACUGGUCGAGUGAUCUUGCGCGGAAAAUUUAACGGGGCUAAGCGUAUAACCGAAGCUUGGGAAUGUCGAAAGACAUUGGUAGGGGAGCGUCGUGUAUGGGGUGAAGUCGCAUCGGAAGGAGCGGUGGACUGUACACGAGUGAGAAUGCCGGAAUGAGUAGCGAGAAUUAUGUGAGAAUCAUAAUGGCCGAAAAUCUAAGGUUUCUUGGGGAAGGUUCGUCCGCCCAAGGUAAGCCGGGAGCUAAGGCGAGGCCGCAAGGCGUAGUCGAUGCACAUACGGUUGAAAUUCCGUAGCCACCUUAUUGAUAAAAAGCUGACACAUGGAGAUAGCGGGACCCGGGCGUUGGUUGACCCGGGCGUAAGGGACCGAAAUCAAGUAGGGAAGUCCGCGAUGCUCUGUGGCGAGAAAAGGCGAAGAUAAGGUGCCCGUACCGCAAACCGACACAGGUAGAUGAGGAGAGAAUCCUAAGGCCAACGGGAGAAGGGUUGUUAAGGAACUCGGCAAGUUGACCCCGUAACUUCGGAAUAAGGGGAGCCUCGAAAGAGGCCGCAGUGAAAAGGCCCAAGCAACUGUUUACCAAAAACACAGGUCUAUGCUAAAUCGAAAGAUGACGUAUAUGGGCUGACGCCUGCCCGGUGCCGGAAGGUUAAGAGGAGAUGUCAGGCAACGAAGCAUCGAAUUGAAGCCCCGGUAAACGGCGGCCGUAACUAUAACGGUCCUAAGGUAGCGAAAUUCCUUGUCAGGUAAGUUCUGACCCGCACGAAUGGCGUAACGAUUUGGGCGCUGUCUCAACAGCCUACCCGGCGAAAUUGUAGUACCGGUGAAGAUGCCGGUUACCCGCAACUAGACGGAAAGACCCCAUGGAGCUUUACUGCAGCUUAAUACUGAGAUUCGGUAAUUCAUGUACAGGAUAGGUGGGAGACUUGGAAACAGGGGCGUCAGCUUCUGCGGAGUCACCCUUGGGAUACCACCCUUGGAUUGCUGGGUUUCUAACCUGCGGCCAUGAAUCUGGUCGGGGGACACUGUUAGGCGGGCAGUUUGACUGGGGCGGUCGCCUCCUAAAAAGUAGCGGAGGCGCUCAAAGCUUGGCUCAGCAUGGAUGGAAAUCAUGCAAUGAGUGUAAACGUAUAAGCCAAGUUGACUGCGAGACCGACGGGUCGAGCAGGGACGAAAGUCGGAGUUAGUGAUCCGGUGGUAUGUGAGUGGAAAUGCCAUCGCUCAACGGAUAAAA